Molecule: ribosomal RNA, 732 nt
Filed under: uncultured bacterium
Lineage: Bacteria
Description: bacterial SSU rRNA
Rfam family: Bacterial small subunit ribosomal RNA
Source: RNAcentral
GAUGAACGCUGACAGAAUGCUUAACACAUGCAAGUCUAUUUGAAGCUAACUUCGGUUAGUGGAUGGUGGCGGACGGGUGAGUAACGCGUAAAGAACUUGCCUCACAGAUUGGGACAACAUUUGGAAACGAAUGCUAAUACCGGAUAUUAUGAUACUUCCGCAUGGAAGAAUCAUGAAAGCUAUAUGCGCUGUGAGAGAGCUUUGCGUCCCAUUAGCUAGUUGGAGAGGUAACGGCUCACCAAGGCGAUGAUGGGUAGCCGGCCUGAGAGGGUGAACGGCCACAAGGGGACUGAGACACGGCCCUUACUCCUACGGGAGGCAGCAGUGGGGAAUAUUGGACAAUGGACCAAAAGUCUGAUCCAGCAAUUCUGUGUGCACGAUGAAGUUUUUCGGAAUGUAAAGUGCUUUCAGUUGGGAAGAAGCAAGUGACGGUACCAACAGAAGAAGCGACGGCUAAAUACGUGCCAGCAGCCGCGGUAAUACGUAUGUCGCAAGCGUUAUCCGGAUUUAUUGGGCGUAAAGCGCGUCUAGGUGGUUAUAUAAGUCUGAUGUGAAAAUGCGGGGCUCAACUCCGUAUUGCGUUGGAAACUGUAUGACUAGAGUACUGGAGAGGUAAGCGGAACUACAAGUGUAGAGGUGAAAUUCGUAGAUAUUUGUAGGAAUGCCGAUGGGGAAGCCAGCUUACUGGACAGAUACUGACGCUAAAGCGCGAAAGCGUGGGUAGCAAACAGG